Molecule: long non-coding RNA, 1334 nt
Organism: Helianthus annuus (common sunflower)
Lineage: Eukaryota; Viridiplantae; Streptophyta; Magnoliopsida; Asterales; Asteraceae
Exons: 7
Source: RefSeq, a predicted model, not a curated record
AUUUUGAUGUUGGCUAGAUAUCGCCAUUGCUAUUGGUGACCUCUAGAAUUCCAAUUAAUUCAUUGAAAAUGUUGUUGCAUGGAGAGAUCGCUAAUGCUACCGGUGAUAAAUCCUUGAGAUAUCCAGAUCUGGAUCUAGGGUUUCUCUGCUCUCUUUGGCGAUUCCAGACACAGUUAUGCUGCUAGAAAGCUCCGCCAUCUUCACGGCCGUCGUGGUCCAGCAGCGCCGCACAAAUCGACGCAUUGCCGUACAUCGACGACGAGUACGGCGACCACAAAGUCAAAGCGGAGGUUGACCGUUUAAUCGAAGAAGAAAUGCGUCGUAGUGCUAAACGACCGUCUGAUUAUCUUAAAGACCUCCCUCCUGUUGCCAAAUUCAACUUUGAGAUCCACUGAUACUCCGGCGACCGGUGUUGUUGCUCGCUUCGCCGUUAGGGCUCACCAGGUAAUAGUGAUGAAUUUCAGUUGAGAGAUGAUGGUGCACUUCAUGAUUUGCCUACAAUUCUCUUGCUCUUCAAAGUUCCAGCUAAGUUUAUAUUUUGAUUCAGAAUUUGUCGCUUCUUUAUUUUGUAUUUAGGUUUACUAAUUUGGUCAUUAUAUUUUGUGUAUGUGUUCUUGGAAGGAAAUAAGAUCUCUUAUACUAAUUUGGGUUUUUAUUUUCUUAAGAUAGCACUUUCAUGGGGGAAUUUAAGUUCAAAAGGCACUGAGACUUAAUAUGUUCUUGAUGAUGGAAAUGUGAAAAAGGUUCUGCAGUUGGUUUCAAGUUGGACAGCAUAUUGAAACUCACUGAUACACGAGCUUCUAACAGCAAGAUGACUUUAAAGUUUGAAACACUGCAGGCUGCUGUGAUAGAUAUUGUAGUGGUUGCAAUUCGUGAGUUGGGGUGUUCCAAGGGAAGCACUGAAGAAACAAUGUUAGAGGCAACAAAAAAUCGAUGAGAAGGCAAAUAAAAACCCCAUCAUGAUUCCCAAGAUCCACCGGACCUCUUACACGUGUUAGCAGUUCACCAGAAAAGGCUUGAUUCUCAUAAAACCUGAAGGAUUUGUUGUAUGUUUGCAUAUCUUUAGCUUUCUCAUGCACCAAGGCAAGACGGGAAUUAGUCGUCUAAUAUUGAUCGAUAAGAUUUAGAUUUAUUGUUGAAUUUUAAAAUAUUAACAUGUACAAUAUCAAAUUUAAGUGCUUUCCACUACCCUCUUUUUUCACACUAGGUAAUUUUAAGUGCUUCCCUAUACCCUCUUUUUCACACUAGGUAAACCGUAGUUUGCAUAAUGUACCAUUUGUGGUUUAGAUGGCAAUGCAGAGCUUUAAAGUAGAAAUCAAAAUGUCCAGUUUUAA